ACGGUCUGGCGCGAGUGUCUGUGACGCCAUCUCGGCGCGACUCUUCAUUUUCUUGGCGUUUUCUGGCUGCUCUGCCGGAGCUAUGCCGAAAGUCGUGUCGCGGUCGGUGGCCUGCUCAGACACCCGGGACCGCGAGGAAUAUGAUGAUGGCGAGAAGCCCCUCCAUGUCUACUACUGUUUAUGUGGCCAGAUGGUCCUGGUGCUGGAUUGCCAGUUAGAGAAAUUGCCCAUGAGGCCCCGGGACCGGUCUCGCGUGAUCGAUGCUGCCAAACAUGCUCACAAGUUUUGUAACACAGAAGACGAGGAGACUACUUAUCUUCGGAGGCCUGAGGGCAUUGAACGUCAGUACAGGAAGAAGUGUGCAAAGUGUGGACUGCCNCUCUUCUACCAAUCCCAGCCGAAGAAUGNUCCUGUGACCUUCAUUNUGGAUGGAGCAGUAGUGAAAUUUGGCCAAGGCUUUGGGAAAACCAAUAUAUAUACUCAGAAACAAGAGCCUCCUAAGAAGGUUAUGAUGACCAAAAGGACUAAAGACAUGGGCAAGUUCAGCUCUGUUACUGUGUCUACCAUUGAUGAAGAAGAAGAGGAGAUAGAGGCUAGGGAAGUUGCUGACUCUUACNNGCAGAAUGCCAAAGUGAUUGAAAAGCAGCUGGAGCGCAAAGGCAUGAGCAAGAGGAGGCUGCAGGAGUUGGCUGAAUUGGAAGCCAAGAAAGCAAAAAUGAAGGGGACCCUGAUCGACAAUCNGUUCAAAUAAUCAAGAUCUUUCUGGGUUCAGACUGGAGGCAGCAGAUAG
This is a non-coding RNA of Mus caroli (Ryukyu mouse), 790 nucleotides long. NCBI's taxonomy places the organism in Eukaryota, Metazoa, Chordata, Mammalia, Rodentia, Muridae. The record is from RefSeq and is a predicted model, not a curated record.